ACCUCUUGGCCUGCUCUGGUUUGACAGAGUGAAUUCACACAAAUAAUAAGAGACACAUUUUUCUGCAGGUGCAAAAUAGCUUGUUGAUAGUGCAGUUUGUCUGUCAAAUCAAAUUGUGUCACUAGCAAAUCGGCGUGGCAUCUUUCGCUAAAUUUGAUACUUUACAUUCAUUUCUUGCCUUGUAAAAACCUAAUUAUAAAGCAUAGUAUAAGAUGUAGAAGUUGUAAGGGAAUUUUGAGACACCAGCAAAUUUCAGACUGAUAUCAAUAAAACGCUAUUCCUCGCGUCAAAUAAAACCUUAUCCCCCUAAAUGACCAUACGCUCUAAACGACAGAUGAUGAUUAAUAAACCCGACAGAUUUCCUGCACUUAUAUGCAUCACCGGUAGGGGGCAGCAUUUUCCCGACCGUGUGAACGACCUGACCGGAAAACAAGCAGGCAGAGCGGAGCGGAGGCAGGCAGAGGAAAGAUGGCAGCCGCGGCAGUGGCUGAGUUUCAGAGAGCACAGUCUCUUCUUGGAACAGACCGGAAUGCCUCUAUCGAUAUCUUACAUUCAAUAGUGAAGCGGGACGUCCAGGAGAGUGAUGAGGAGGCGGUGCGUGUUAAAGAGCAGAGCAUCCUGGAGCUGGGUGGGCUGCUGGCCAAGACAGGACAGGCUGCAGAGCUUGGGGGUCUGCUGAAGUAUGUACGCCCCUUCCUUAACUCCAUCUCCAAGGCCAAGGCAGCCCGGCUGGUCCGCUCCCUACUGGACCUGUUCCUGGACAUGGAAGCUGCCACGGGUCAGGAGGUAGACCUCUGCCUGGAGUGCAUAGAGUGGGCCAAGGCUGAGAAGAGAACAUUCCUCCGACAGGCGCUAGAGGCUCGUCUCAUCUCACUGUAUUUCGACACAAAGUGCUACCAGGAGGCACUACAUCUUGGCUCCCAGUUGCUGCAGGAGCUGAAGAAGAUGGACGACAAGGCCCUACUGGUGGAGGUUCAGCUGCUGGAGAGUAAGACAUACCAUGCACUCAGUAAUCUGCCUAAAGCCCGCGCCGCCCUUACAUCUGCCAGGACAACCGCCAACGCCAUCUACUGCCCACCCAAACUACAAGCAGCUUUAGACAUGCAGUCAGGGAUCAUUCACGCAGCAGAGGAGAAAGACUGGAAGACAGCUUACUCCUACUUCUACGAGGCCUUUGAGGGCUACGACUCCAUUGAUAGCCCCCGAGCCAUCACAGCCCUCAAAUACAUGCUGCUCUGCAAAAUCACGCUCAACGCUCCAGAGGAUGUCCAGGCCCUCAUCAGUGGCAAGCUAGCUCUGCGGUAUGCUGGCAGACAGACAGACUCACUGAAAUGUGUGGCACAAGCCAGCAAGAACCGGUCUCUGGCAGACUUUGAAAAGGCACUAACAGAGUACAAAGCAGAGCUGAGGGAUGACCCCAUCAUCAGCACCCAUCUCACCACUCUGUAUGACAACCUGCUGGAGCAGAACCUCAUCAGGGUCAUCGAACCUUUCUCCAGGGUCCAGAUAGCACACAUUUCCUCCCUCAUCAAACUCUCUAAGACAGAUUGUGUCUGCCUUGCAGGGAGACGUGGAGAGGAAAUUAUCACAGAUGAUCCUGGACAAGAAGUUUCACGGUAUUUUGGACCAAGGGGAAGGUGUGCUGAUUGUCUUUGAAGAGCCGGUAGUGGACAAGACAUACGAGGCGGCCCUGGAGACCAUUCAGAACAUGAGCAAAGUGGUCGACUCGCUCUACAACAAAGCCAAGAAGCUAACAUAAGAGAGAGCGAAACUAUCGGUCCUCCUGUCCGGAGUGAUGCGGGCCAGUCAGAGCUGCGCUGAUCGUUCACUUCAACCGGGAAGGGACGAGGGGAGGAGGACGAGGAGAUUACAAACACUAAACAACCCAGCAAGCAAAACAAACCAGCCGACCACCUGAAGACGACCCAACCGAACAACUAACUGACGCGGUUUACACGCCGCUCCUCCUGGUCCUCCCUCUGCUCUCCCUCCCUUCUGUCUCUUCCUUCCUAUCUGACUGGGGUUGAUCUGACGCAACGUGCUACUCCAUAUGGACAAAUUCAGGCACUGUGCCCCCUCUUUUCUUCUCCCACCACUGGUUUCUACUGUACGUAUAAUUGGACAAGCCUCCUUUCCCCCUUUUAUGUCCCGUUUCUCUCUGCGCUGGCCAUCAGGGAAUCUUGUAAAAUAACAAUAAAGAAUACAUAUACAGUACUUAUUCAUACAUGUAUUAUAUAGAAAAGAAAUCGGUCCCAGCGUGUAAAUGUGGGUUGGUUGGUCGGUCUGUCUCACACUGGAUUCUACCUGUCCUGUUCAGUGUGCCAACCAGCCCUGAAACUGAAUGUUUGCAUUUCUCCAAUGUUCUGCGGUUUUGAAAAGUGCUGCCCCACAGUUAACUAGGUCACCUGAAGAAUGAGGCAGUCAGAACAACCCCUCCUGUCUUCUCACACCCUUCCUAUGACCAUUGCCGCCUCACCUGUUUCACCCCGAGUGGUCUCACUCGUUCACAAGGCAUUCUGGGAUUCGUGGACCAUACAGGGAAUUUGCUCUUCUGUCCACUGGGGACCAUGCCACAUGGAGAGGAGGACAUUCAUCACCACACUGGAGUCACCUAUACGCCCCCUUCCUUCUACCUACUCAGCACUCCUACUUCCAUGUUUGUAUAUAACAUUGCCAAGCGCCUCUGUUCAUCAUCCAAGGCCUGAUGUAAUCCCACUGUCCCCUUUUUUUAUAAUGCGUAAGAACAGAACAAACCUCGCCACCGAGAGCUCGGUCAGUCACACAAAGUGCUUUUGACGCUCGACACGUGACUGGAGAGAGAACUCUGCGUUCUGAGAUGUGAUGGUUUGUUGGGCAGAAAAGGGCGGGUUUGGAUGAAGAAAAUCAAGCUGUACAUUUCCGGGAACUUAAUUUUGCAAGGACUCUUGAGGGUUUACCAUAUGACAUAGAGAAAGACAAAUGCUAAUAAAAAAAAUUUAAACCUG
Molecule: RNA transcript, 2984 nt
Organism: Micropterus dolomieu (smallmouth bass)
Lineage: Eukaryota; Metazoa; Chordata; Actinopteri; Centrarchiformes; Centrarchidae
Gene name: 26S proteasome non-ATPase regulatory subunit 11A
Exons: 13
Source: RefSeq, a predicted model, not a curated record